This is a long non-coding RNA of Numida meleagris (helmeted guineafowl), 376 nucleotides long. RefSeq lists it as uncharacterized. NCBI's taxonomy places the organism in Eukaryota, Metazoa, Chordata, Aves, Galliformes, Numididae. The transcript is spliced from 2 exons. The record is from RefSeq and is a predicted model, not a curated record.
CGUUACGUUACUCAUUUUCCUGCAGUAGCUGUUGCCUGACUUGAUCUUUAAGUAGUUGGGGCGGAAAUAACAACUGUUCCAAAUGACUCCAUCACUCCCGCGACCCUGCCGAGCCGGGAGCGCCCUAUGCCAUAGAACCACAGAACCAGAGAAGCCUUGGAGUUGGAAGGGACCUGCGAGGGCCAUCCAGCCCAAGUCCCCUGCAGCACACAGGGACACCACAGCUCCAUCAGGUUGCCCAGGGCCUGCUCCAGCCUCGCCUUGGAAGUCUCCAGGGAUGGGGCAUCCGCCACAUCUCUGUGCCAGCACCUCACCGCCCUCACUGGAAAAGACUUUUCCUCAUAUCCAAAUAAAUCUCCCCUCGUGAAGCUCAAAA